GGAGCUUUAAACCCAAUUAUAUUCCUAGCCACUAUAACCAUUCAAUCUCUUAGGCCCUAUAUACUUGGUUUUAGGUUGGGGCGACCACGGAGUAAAACCAAACCUCCAUGAUGUACGGAACAACCUCCUCAUCUAAGAGCUACAGCUCUAAGAAUUAGCACACUAUCAUAAAAUGACCCAUUAUUGAUCAACGAACCAAGUUACCCUGGGGAUAACAGCGCAAUCCAUUUUAAGAGCCCCUAUCGACAAAU
This 251-nucleotide ribosomal RNA is filed under the name Mantidactylus femoralis. RNAcentral describes it as "partial 16S ribosomal RNA". The record is from RNAcentral. Lineage: Eukaryota; Metazoa; Chordata; Amphibia; Anura; Mantellidae.